AUUUUUGAACAUGUGUUUAUUAGCAGUCUGCAGUCUAGUCAGUUUAGAUUGGAAGCUUGAAGUCUUGAACAGUAUUAAUCUGAUUUAAUCGAGGAAAACAGAAUGAAGAGACUAGAUGUUCUUCAAAUCUUGGCAGAAAGGAAUGAAAGAAGAAAACGCGAACUGGAGCUCAAUGGUUUACCGUCAGAAAGCAAAUAAUUCUUUGCCCAUAACCCCAAAUUUUUCAAGGCAGACUCCAUCCUCGUUGAAUCAUCAUCCCAGAG
Long non-coding RNA from Daphnia pulex (common water flea), 263 nucleotides. RefSeq lists it as uncharacterized. The transcript has 3 exons. The record is from RefSeq and is a predicted model, not a curated record. Lineage: Eukaryota; Metazoa; Arthropoda; Branchiopoda; Diplostraca; Daphniidae.